This is a long non-coding RNA of Thalassophryne amazonica, 165 nucleotides long. RefSeq lists it as uncharacterized. The record is from RefSeq and is a predicted model, not a curated record. Lineage: Eukaryota; Metazoa; Chordata; Actinopteri; Batrachoidiformes; Batrachoididae. The transcript is spliced from 2 exons.
UUUUUUUUUUUUGGGGGGGGGGGGGGGGGGUCAAUGAGGAAUUACACAGAGAUCAAAAUUUUAAAAUGCUCCAAUCAUGUUGAAAACUAUACCACAUUAUUUGUCCGAUCAUAAUGAUUCCAAAAAGGUAUAGUUUGGACUAUCUAUGAUUGAAUAUUGUGGAGU